UACGAGGGGGGCGAGCGUUGUUCGGAAUUAUUGGGCGUAAAGGGCGCGUAGGCGGUGCGGUAAGUCACCUGUGGAACCUCCGGGCUUAACUCGGAGCCUGCAGGCGAAACUGCAGUGCUAGAGUGUGGGAGAGGUGAGUGGAAUUCCCGGUGUAGCGGUGCAAUGCGUAGAUAUCGGGAGGAACACCUGUGGCGAAAGCGGCUCACUGGACCACAACUGACGCUGAGGCGCGAAAGCUAGGGGAGCAAACAGG
This 253-nucleotide ribosomal RNA is filed under the name uncultured prokaryote. Its description in RNAcentral is "partial 16S ribosomal RNA". It matches the Rfam family "Bacterial small subunit ribosomal RNA", at positions 524 to 776 of the family's 1533-position model. The record is from RNAcentral.